This is a non-coding RNA of Chelonoidis abingdonii (Abingdon island giant tortoise), 83 nucleotides long. NCBI's taxonomy places the organism in Eukaryota, Metazoa, Chordata, Testudines, Testudinidae. The record is from RefSeq and is a predicted model, not a curated record.
UUGGAAAUCAUUUAAUGGAGAAAGUAGUUCAGGGACGAUUGAGGUCAAUGGUAUAUUGGGACAAAAUACAACAUGUUUUACAA